RNAcentral lists this ribosomal RNA (800 nucleotides) under uncultured soil bacterium. Its description in RNAcentral is "bacterial SSU rRNA". It matches the Rfam family "Bacterial small subunit ribosomal RNA", at positions 1 to 789 of the family's 1533-position model. The record is from RNAcentral.
CGCGAAUUCGCCCUUAGAGUUUGAUCCUGGCUCAGAUUGAAGCUGGCGGAAUGCUUUACACAUGCAAGUCGAGCGGCAGCGCGGGGCAACCUGGCGGCGAGCGGCGAACGGGUGCGUAAUACAUCGGAACAUGUCCAGUCGUGGGGGAUAACCUGGCGAAAGCCAGGCUAAUACCGCAUGCGCUCGGGAGAGGAAAGCGGGGGACUCGCAAGGGCCUCGCGCGAUUGGGUUGGCCGAUGUCCGAUUAGCUAGUUGGUGAGGUAAAGGCUCACCAAGGCGAUGAUCGGUAGCUGGUCUGAGAGGAUGAUCAGCCACACUGGGACUGAGACACGGCCCAGACUCCUACGGGAGGCAGCAGUGGGGAAUUUUGGACAAUGGGGGCAACCCUGAUCCAGCCAUUCCGCGUGAGUGAAGAAGGCCUUCGGGUUGUAAAGCUCUUUUGUCCGGAGCGAAACGGUGCAGGUGAACAAUCUGCGCUACUGACGGUACCGGAAGAAUAAGCACCGGCUAACUACGUGCCAGCAGCCGCGGUAAUACGUAGGGUGCGAGCGUUAAUCGGAAUUACUGGGCGUAAAGCGUGCGCAGGCGGGCUUUUAAGCCAGACGUGAAAUCCCCGGGCUUAACCUGGGAAUGGCGUUUGGGACUGGAAGUCUGGAGUGCGGCAGAGGGGACUGGAAUUCCUGGUGUAGCAGUGAAAUGCGUAGAGAUCAGGAGGAACACCGAUGGCGAAGGCAGGUCCCUGGGUUGACACUGACGCUCAUGCACGAAAGCGUGGGGAGCAAACAGGAUUAGAUACCCUG